This 252-nucleotide ribosomal RNA is filed under the name uncultured bacterium. RNAcentral describes it as "partial 16S ribosomal RNA". It matches the Rfam family "Bacterial small subunit ribosomal RNA", at positions 524 to 776 of the family's 1533-position model. The record is from RNAcentral.
UACAGAGGUGGCAAGCGUUGUUCGGAAUUACUGGGCGUAAAGGGCGCGUAGGCGGUUCGUCAAGUCCUGUGUGAAAUCCCCCGGCUCAACUGGGGAACUGCACAGGAAACUAGCGGGCUUGAGUUCGGGAGAGGGAAGCGGAAUUCCGGGUGUAGCGGUGAAAUGCGUAGAUAUCCGGAGGAACACCGGUGGCGAAGGGGGUUGCUGGGCUGACACUGACGCUGAGGCGCGAAAGCUAGGGGAGCGAACGGG